This 253-nucleotide ribosomal RNA is filed under the name uncultured bacterium. Its description in RNAcentral is "partial 16S ribosomal RNA". It matches the Rfam family "Bacterial small subunit ribosomal RNA", at positions 524 to 776 of the family's 1533-position model. The record is from RNAcentral.
UACGUAGGGGGCAAGCGUUGUCCGGAUUUAUUGGGCGUAAAGAGCGUGUAGGCGGUUUGGUAGGUCCGCUGUGAAAACUCGAGGCUCAACCUCGAGACGCCGGUGGAAACCAUCAGACUAGAGUCCGGAAGAGGAGAGUGGAAUUCCUGGUGUAGCGGUGAAAUGCGCAGAUAUCAGGAGGAACACCCGUGGCGAAAGCGGCUCUCUGGGACGGUACUGACGCUGAGGAGCGAAAGCGUGGGUAGCAAACAGG